RNAcentral lists this long non-coding RNA (965 nucleotides) under Drosophila guanche. The record is from RNAcentral. Lineage: Eukaryota; Metazoa; Arthropoda; Insecta; Diptera; Drosophilidae.
AAAAUGUUGUCGACUUGUGGGUAAAGCCCAGGCCUGAGUUCAGUCUAACUUUAAACACAGAACAAGUAACAUCGUUUUGUUUCUUCUAAUUUUUAAAUUUAAUUUAAUUUCAAUAAUAUUAUUUUCAUUAAUUUUUUUUUUUUGAGUCGAUAUGUCGGACACUUUAUUAAUUUCAUCUGCUGGCAGUGCCACCGAGUCUGCUCUUGCAGAUUCUAGUGGAGUGCGACCCGUUUCUGGAUUUCGCAAUUAUCUGCAUCAAUCAAGAGGAUUGUGGUAACUCAAUAUGAGUUAUUUUCUUAAAUAAUAACUACACGGUAACUAACAAUUGUCUACUUAUUAAUAACAUAUUUAUGGAAUAAGAACUCUCUAUACAUUGCAAAUGAUAUUUUAGACAAAUAUUAACAACGGAGAAUUUUCUUUACAACAAAACUUUACAAAAACUAACCAAAUGAAGAAACACGUCUGAGCGUUUUAAGUCAGUUCUGACAAUUGAACAUUUUUUUUACAAAUCAAGAAAUCUCUAUCGCUAUCUGUAUCUGUGAGUAUUUCAAAUUUUUUGUUUUUCUGAAUGAAAAAAAAAAUGUCUGUUUCAGGUACUUCCCACACAUAUUCUUCCUUUGCUAGUCCACUGUACACCACUUCUAAACUUUCACCAGAUCCUUGUGGUGAUUGAGGAUCAGUGUGUAUAGUUUUAAAACAACUUGUCUGCUUCCUGAAUGGUCAUGGCAUACACGAAGACACGCCCAUGGUCAUGCAGCUGGGCCACAACGCCUGGGACAAGAUCAAGACAGUUUACUCCAUUCUUUUUCACGUGCAAAUUUGAAUGGAUAAAUGCGAUUUGCAUUUUCUGAAAAAUAAAAGCAAUUAAAUAAAUUGAGUCCUUGAAGGGGAUUCCUUUCAUUCGAAAAGACUAUAUCUAGGCUAGGUUAGGUUGAAUGAGUUAGAGCUCCUAUGUAACUGGUGAC